UCUAAAAAGCCUUCUAUUGCCUGUCUACA
This 29-nucleotide non-coding RNA is filed under the name Rattus norvegicus (Norway rat). Lineage: Eukaryota; Metazoa; Chordata; Mammalia; Rodentia; Muridae. The record is from RNAcentral.